UGGAUGAUGUCGCUUUUUUGUCACCAGUUUCUUCUCCAAACGGGUCAAUGACAGCUGGGGCCAGGUGCGUGUGGGACCGACGAGCAGAGGCAGCGGUGCUGUAUGCUCUGUGUCGCCUGGUCGCCUGUCGAUCAGAGGUGAGAGAAUCUAGAUCGAACAGGGCAAACCAAUCUGGCCUCGCUCCUCGCUUCCCAAUUCCCGUCCCUCGCCUCGCUCUCCUCCUUCCCAAUCCCCGCCUCCUCUCCUCCCCCGAAUCAGCCGCCUCCUCUUCACCUGCCGCCUCUCCCCUCCGCGUUCGUGGGUCGGAGGAGGUGCGGCCGGAGCGCGCACGGAGGUUGGCGGUGGCGACGCCCACUCCUCUCCUCGUCCCCGUCCUCUCCUCUUCCUCCGCCCUCGAGGUCGUCUUCCGGCGGAGCGACGGCAAGGAGCACAAGGGCGGCGGCGGCUGUUGGAUGCUCGUUUCCUCCCAGGCACCCACGACCUCGCGGGGACGUGGAGGACGGAGGAGGAGCACAUGGCCGUGGGUGGGACGGCGGCAGGAUUUCAUCUUCCCUUCACUGUUGAUGUGGAGGAGUAGGAGAGGUCGACGUCGGUGGCGGCGGGUGGAGGUGAGGCGGCCAGAGACGGGCCGGCGCGGGGCGGAUCCGCGGAGGCGACGGGCGCGGACGGAGACAGGCCGGCACGGUAGCCUCCUCCAAAGCUCGCGGUAGCAGCUGGUCGACGACAACGGCCGCAUAGGUUCGUCACCUCCUCCCCUUGUCUAUCCCGCACGGCUGCCGGAAGAAAAACAAGACAACGGCAUCGCUGCCACAUGGGAUCUCCUUGUAUGACGCUGCCGUGGUGGGUUUUGUUAGCUUUCAGCUGGGAAGGACACCAACAUGGUUAUAGACUUAUAGCUGUUUUGGACUUGGGAUAUGAAUCGUUGGGUGUUAAAAGCACUUCAUAGCAGCUUGGUCAUACCAUGGAUUCUUUGGAAGCUCUUUUCAGAAGCAGAGAGAGUGUACUACAUUGGAGGAUUAAAAGAUCUGCACAAUAUUUGCUUUCUCAAUGUUAACCUGCAGGUAUCUCCUACUCUUCAAUGAAUCUGUAUUAUGGUGUUCUUUAUGUGUAGUAUCAUCAUCGGGUUUGAGUUCAUACUAAAUCAGAGAAUAUUUCCAGGCACCGCCAGCUGCAGCCAUUUUGUGUCAUCUUUAAAUGAUUUGCUUGGAAGUGAUUGCUUGCUAGAAUAGUCUGAAAAUGCCUCUUAUCUUUGCUUAGACCAUGUGGCUCGGUUCAGAUUUUUAUUUUCUGUGCAAUAAUCACUUUCUUUUUCCAUUUUGGAGUCCUUAUAAUGUGCGGAGGAAAUUAUUCAGCAGCAAUGCAGUUGGGUAACAUAGAAAGACUAUUAGGUAUGCUCGUGUUAAUAUUCUAAUCGCUGUCAGCGAAGUGUUCCCUUCAAAUCUAUGAGGUCCCAAAACUGAUGUGUUGUGUUGGUAUAUUUCCCCCUUCUCAUCCCAUGUACCUGUUCAGAUUAUUGAAUUGCAUACACGGGAGCAGUUCAAAAGUUUGCACUGUUGAUUCACAGUGUUGGUGCUGAUGCAUCUUUUCUAGGAUGUAUCGGUUCUAAUGCAUGUAUGAAAAAUUCAUUCCCCUUUCUCGCGUUGUGCAUGUCAAUUCGGUACUGGUAGAACUUCUUAUCUUGCUCUUUAUUAUUAUUCUUAUUCUUGAUAUAUAGUUACUGAAGUUCAGUUUUAUGAAUUUAUGAAUGUAUACGAGAAAUUAGGUUUCCUAUCUUUUUCUACUUUACUCGCUUCGAUGACUGGUUUACCUGCUAGAGCAGCAUCCCAUUGUUCAGUAGAAGGUAAAGUAAGGAAGACAUUGGUCAGGUUCUUAAUUCGUUCAUACAUACUCUCUGAUUUGAACUAGCACAUAACAAUGUUGCUUAUUGUCUACAGCUAAUGCCAUGUCUCUCUAGAAUGCAAUAUACUAAUAACUUUUAUCCCAAAAUUUCCAGCGCCAGUUGGCCGCGCUGCAAGGUACGCUGAAGAUAUCUGAAGGAUUGAUUGGCACUGUCAGUGUCUAGGCAAAGCAUGCAAUAGCUCGUUUAUCCCUGUUUACCUUGGCACCGGAUUGAUGGACCUCUAUAUACGCAUGGAAAUAAAUAAGUAUGUAUUCUACGGAUAAUAUUUGUGUUGUAUGCAUCUCAAAUUGGCCUGGGAUGGCAAUGCGAGGUUGAACUCUCUCAUUAUCUACCUCGCCUUUCUAAACUUGUUUUGCUGCUAGCUUGAGAGUAUAACAGUGGAUAAUCACCAUUAGCACAAUGGGACAAGAACUCAUGAUGAAGCCGACAUAAUUCGCUAGGAUAAUCACCAUUUGAAAAAAAAGGGUGUAGGCAUAAGAAGAAUCAGAUUAGCAACAGUACAUUAGUUAGGCAUGGAGGUUCUGCUCGACAAGCUCUUUGUGCCCAAGCUCGAAAGUGUUUUCUAUUGCAACCAGGUCCGUGUUCUUUGCCAUAGCUGCCUCACUUAAAACAGCAAUUGUCACUCAACAGCAAGUCUCCACAACCGUAGAAAGGGUUAUUUCUUUAUCCAUUUUCUCUUUUACUUGUUACAGACAUCUUUAUUCUAAGUCAAUCCUUGCACUGGUCUGGGUAGUAUCAUCGUUAAUAUCAUAUUAAUCUGUAAUCCACGUAGUAUUGCCAGGUUGCUCAGAGUCUACUAGAACACAUCUCAAUUGGAACCACUGAGAUUGAUUUAUGUAAGGAGUAUGUUUUCUGCAAGAUGUUGGCUUAGUACACAAAGCUGCGUGAUGCUGAGCACAACCAGAUUCCAUAGAAUAUACUUUCUUUUUUAAAGAGAUAUGCAAGUGGGUACCGCUUCUUUGCAAAAUAUACACGAAGGCAGUCCAAUGCUUGUUUACAAGUGUGUACUGCUUCUUUGCAAAAUAUACAUGAAGGCAGUCCAAUGCUUGUUUAAGUGGUGGUUUAAUCUGCAGCUGCAUAUUUGAUUUUGAGGUCUGGUCACCACUUUCUUUUAUCGAAGUAGCAUAGCAUUUGUACUACCGAGAGACAUACACAGAGUGAAUGAGCAAUGGCCGUGCAAAAGAAAUAAUUUUCAGUUAUCAUAGAAGCUGAAGAUAGAGAUAUACAAUAGUAUUACAUCUAGCAAUUAUACUCUUAUCAAUGUCUCACACUAAUCGUAGAAGAAAUGGUUAUCAAGUUACACUCCAGUUAAUCCAACAUCCAUGGUAGCCAUAUGCAGCCUUGGGAUUAGGUGGUCUACAGGCACCCUCUGUGUUUUACCCUUGACCAUGUCCCUGUUUUGCUCAAAGAAAGCGGAAGCUAUUUUCCCAGUCCACCUUGUCCUCUCCACCUUCUUGAGGAUAACAAAAACACCAUGUAGUAUUUGGCAUAAACAAAGUGACAUUUUUAUAGCAUUGGGGGAGUACAUAAAAAGUGUUCCUCCAUUCUAAAGAAUCUACAACUUGCCAACUGUGAAACUGAUCCCAAAUAAAGGCAUGGCAGUUGCCUUUGAUGAUUAAUGAUGCAUUUGGAGCAAUGAUAUGCUCUCAUCCGCUCCUUUAAAAAGGUCGUUAAUAACCGUACUAAUUACUCACUUGCUU
Lolium perenne is the source of this 3600-nucleotide non-coding RNA. The record is from RefSeq and is a predicted model, not a curated record. NCBI's taxonomy places the organism in Eukaryota, Viridiplantae, Streptophyta, Magnoliopsida, Poales, Poaceae.